RNAcentral lists this ribosomal RNA (759 nucleotides) under Uncancylus sp. UMMZ300231. Its description in RNAcentral is "eukaryotic LSU rRNA". It matches the Rfam family "Eukaryotic large subunit ribosomal RNA", at positions 402 to 961 of the family's 3401-position model. RNAcentral also lists the same sequence under 1 other name. The record is from RNAcentral. Lineage: Eukaryota; Metazoa; Mollusca; Gastropoda; Ancylidae.
AAACCGCUCAGAGGUAAACGGGUGGUUCCGCAAAAGUCGGCCCGCGGAACUCAGCGCGGCGUUCGGCCUGGGGCUGCUGCUUGGAGGGAUCCUCUCGGAGCCUUCUGCGGCGUCGCACCGGGUCUCGCCGCGUGCAUUUUCUGCGGGCAGAGCGCUACGAUCGGUUUCGCAUUGGUGACGAUUAGCCUGGGUGCUAUAGCGUGGUACGGUCUAUUCGGCCGUGCCUCGGGCACCCAUGUGCGAGUUGCUUCGGGACCGAGGAUUGGCCCGUCGCUUCGAGGCACCUCGGCCUCGCGGGGGAGUACGACUGAUAGGGACUGGGUUGACCGUGCCUGUCGACAGCUCCUCUGCGGUGGUUCGGGAAUGCCGGGCGAUGUCCGGGGUCAGUGGCGAGUCUGUCGGCCUACCACCCGACCCGUCUUGAAACACGGACCAAGGAGUCUAACAUGCGCGCGAGUCAUUGGGCGUUACGAAACCCAAAGGCGCAGUGAAAGCAAGGGUCAACUUGUUGGCCUAGGUGGGAUCCUUGUCCAACGAAAGUGGAUGAGGCGCACCACCGGCCCGUCCUGGCUGCGCUGUCAGCGGGGCGGUGCAAGAGCGUGCACGCUGGGACCCGAAAGAUGGUGAACUAUGCCUGAGUAGAACGAAGCCAGAGGAAACUCUGGUGGAAGUCCGUAGCGAUUCUGACGUGCAAAUCGAUCGUCAAACUCGGGUAUAGGGGCGAAAGACUAAUCGAACCAUUUAGUAGCUGGUUCCCUC